RNAcentral lists this unclassified non-coding RNA (193 nucleotides) under soil metagenome. RNAcentral's name for it is "partial contains 5.8S ribosomal RNA, internal transcribed spacer 2, and large subunit ribosomal RNA". The record is from RNAcentral.
AACGCACGAGACCUGCGGACCUGCGGAAGGAUCAUUACCGAGUUAUCCAACUCCCAACCCCUGUGAAUUAUACCUUUAAUUGUUGCUUCGGCGGGACUUCGCGCCCGCCGGGGACUCAAACCUUCUGAAUUUUUUAAUAAGUAUCUUCUGAGUGGUUAAAAAAAUGAAUCAAAACUUUCAACAACGGAUCUCU